UACGAAGGGGGCUAGCGUUGCUCGGAAUCACUGGGCGUAAAGGGUGCGUAGGCGGGUUUCUAAGUCAGAGGUGAAAUCCUGGAGCUCAACUCCAGAACUGCCUUCGAUACUGGAAGACUCGAGUCCGGGAGAGGUGAGUGGAACUGCGAGUGUAGAGGUGAAAUUCGUAGAUAUUCGCAAGAACACCAGUGGCGAAGGCGGCUCACUGGCCCGGUACUGACGCUGAGGUGCGAAAGCGUGGGGAGCAAACAGG
This 253-nucleotide ribosomal RNA is filed under the name uncultured bacterium. RNAcentral's name for it is "partial 16S ribosomal RNA". It matches the Rfam family "Bacterial small subunit ribosomal RNA", at positions 524 to 776 of the family's 1533-position model. The record is from RNAcentral.